GAUGAAGAACGUAGCGAAAUGCGAUAAGUAAUGUGAAUUGCAGAAUUCAGUGAAUCAUCGAAUCUUUGAACGCACAUUGCGCCCGCCAGUAUUCUGGCGGGCAUGCCUGUCUGAGCGUCAUUUCAACCCUCAUGCCCCUAGGGCGUGGUGUUGGGGAUCGGCCAAAGCCCGCGAGGGACGGCCGGCCCCUAAAUCUAGUGGCGGACCCGUCGUGGCCUCCUCUGCGAAGUAGUGAUAUUCCGCAUCGGAGAGCGAUGAGCCCUUGCCGUUAAACCCCCAACUUUCCAAGGUUGACCUCAGAUCAGGUAGGAAUACCCGCUGAACUUAAGCAUAUCAAUAAGCGGAGGA
Molecule: unclassified non-coding RNA, 348 nt
Filed under: soil metagenome
Description: partial contains 5.8S ribosomal RNA, internal transcribed spacer 2, and large subunit ribosomal RNA
Rfam family: 5.8S ribosomal RNA (bases 1-120)
Source: RNAcentral